Molecule: long non-coding RNA, 604 nt
Organism: Astyanax mexicanus (Mexican tetra)
Lineage: Eukaryota; Metazoa; Chordata; Actinopteri; Characiformes; Acestrorhamphidae
Exons: 2
Source: RefSeq, a predicted model, not a curated record
UACAACAUGUUUAGUUGAUCAAACUAAGACAGAAAAAAUGGUUUAAAUAUUUGAUAAAUGACUGAAUGGACUAUUCAGAUGACGUGUCUGCAUUUGUCUGUAUUAAAGUGCCGAAAAAUACACAAGUAAUGAGGCUGGUGGUUCAUUCCAGCCAGGACAUGAAUGACCCUACAGUGCAGGCGGAUCUCCUGGAGAAUAUGCAGCAAAAGCUGAUGGAGCAGUGGAUGGUGGAGAACACCACACUGCAAUGGAAAAAACACUCAGAUGGAUCCAUGUUUUACAAGCAGAAAGAGAAAAGGAAGGAAAACGAAAAGGAAAAAAACACCACCAGUGUGUGUGAAAUGUAAACACUAGAGCUGCAUGUUUGCUGUGUAGAUGUGAUUAGUUAUUGCAGUUCAUAAUAUUUACAGUAGGUGGCAACAGUGAGUUCACGCUGUAUAAAUAGCAGCGCUAGCGCCUAGCAUAAAUCCAGCUAUAGAACAACAAUAUACUUAAUGCCUUAAUAAAUGUUGUUUUAAUCAAAACAAACAACCCAGAAAAUUCUCCUUAUUGUUUUUUUGAUAAUUAAAAAUUUAUUUAAAUUAAAGCUUUGUGUGAAACUGUA